Molecule: transfer RNA, 67 nt
Filed under: Curculionoidea sp. 23 KM-2017
Lineage: Eukaryota; Metazoa; Arthropoda; Insecta; Coleoptera
Description: tRNA-Glu
Source: RNAcentral
AUUUAAAUAAUUUAAACAUAAAAUCUUACAUUUUCACUGUAAAAAUAGAAUCUAUUUCUUUUAAAUA